This is a long non-coding RNA of Cyprinus carpio (common carp), 2464 nucleotides long. The record is from Ensembl. Lineage: Eukaryota; Metazoa; Chordata; Actinopteri; Cypriniformes; Cyprinidae.
CUUCUCUCUUGAGCUCUUCUCCCUCAAACUCUCACGCGCUCUUUGCGCUCGCUCAUAGAGUUCCGAGUAAACAGACCUCCGUCCCGUUCUCCUCACGGUGAUAUCAGAGAUGGCAAUUAAAGAGAACGACGAAUGCAUAGACUUCACACUCGUUAAUCAGUCGUUGUUCGACUCACACGCGGAUUUUCGAGGCGCUCUCUCACCCUCUGCGCGCGCUGUGACUCUCAUGCCGAGCGCGCGGGACAAGUUUUUUGCUCUCGGAUGGGGCUUUGCUUCGGAGAGUAUCUUACCAGGAUGCUAAGUUGGAAAUUGAGGAUUCUGACGCCUACUAUGAGCCUCUCGCUCCUCCUCUCGGGGUGUAGUCAUCGAAAGAAAGGCAAGCUGGGUUACAGCAGCUCAGCCUGAAUCGACACACACACACACACACACACACACACACACACACUCUCUCUCUCUCUCUCUCUCUCUCUCUCUACAUUCAUACCCUGGUACUCACUAACAAUCUUCCCCGCUAUCCCCCUAUUUUUGUCUCUAACAAGCCUCAAUGCUUUAGAUUGAGCUGCUUCAACCCCUGGAUGGCGGUCUCAUGCGAGCCAGUACAUCAACUUCAACUUUCCUCAUUUUCUAAAUACACGAAGCCUUCAUUUUCACGCAUGAUUAAUAACAAAUGGACUGUUAUCUUCUUGGGGACGGCUGGCCAAAUACGACAGGAGACACUACAAGAGCAGAGUGCGCAUUUCCUGAUACGUGCAGACAAAGUGUGGCAGUUUGAAAGCUAUUUAACACUGAUUGGAGCCCUUUCUGCUCUUCGCCAGAGAGAAUACCUCUUCAGGUGCCGGUGUCGAGCAUCUCUGAUACACACUGCGCCUCCUCCAUGCUACGAGACCCUCCCCUGAUCAGUCAAGGUUGACAGAGAAGGCCUUUGUGCGACACUCCAAGGAACAGAUGUCUGCCUGAGAGAGCAGUUCACCUGGAGCCGCGCUGGAUUACCCAUGGCCUCGCUUUGAUGGAUUAGCAUGUAUGGAAAUUGCCCGAUUAUUGAUAUGAAAAUAUUUGCAAACGAGGGGAAACUGGUGAUGUGAGGGGUGAGGGGCGCGAAGACGCUAAGAGAGCUUAUCAGCCUUUCUUCCAACCUUGUCCCUCGCUUCCUACAGAAAGAGGAAAAAAGAAGAGGGUUAGAAAAGACAGAUGAGGGCAUAGGGAGGAGAAAGAGAGGUGCUGUGUGUCAGCGUGGCAGUAUUCAGCUGCCCUUCAUGAAAUAUUGUUCACCAUUAUAUUAACAGAGCUGAGUGGAGAGAGAUAAGAGAGCUUCUGAAAUAGUAAGCAGAAUGUCCUGAGGAGAUAUUUCAAUCUUUAUUCUCUGUCACUCUCUCUCUCUCUUUUUCUCCCUCUCACCCCAUCUUUUUCUUUCAUUUAGGGCAACGGGUGAAUGUGAAAUGUGCCGAGACCUUUAUAAAUGAAGACAGGGCUGGAGAAAUGAUGACAUCAUCAACUCCCACAUAAUUGCUUGAUUUGUCAGUCUGUAAUCUGUAUUUUCGGCAGGGUGGGAAGAGGGGGUGGGGGUUCCCUUCAGGAUCACAAGCUACGCAACCUCUCUUCACUUCCAUUACAUUUUCUUAACUAGCCACAGAGAGAGGGCUGAGGGUUUGCACGCCUGCAAAAAAUUAUAUCGAUCGUAUGCAUAAUUAUACAGCAUGCGUCAAGGCGUACAAAAUUAUAUAACUAAAAUUAUACAUUUGGGAAUGAGAUCAACCAGAGAAAGGCUUACCAUUUCAGUCUGUUUCACCUCUUGGAGAGGUGAUACUAUGACACCAUGCUGUGGUGGAGGGAGAGGAAGAAGAAAGAUUUUCUAAGGAAGACUUGAAAAGAGUUCUUUAAAGCAGUGAAAAACAAAAAAAGUAAAAUGCAACAUUUUCAUGACAAAUAUAUAUAUAUAUAUUGUGUAAAAAAAGUGAUUUAAAUUACUUAACUUUUAUAUUCAGCCAAAAUAUCAAUAAGAUCCUAAAUUACGGAAGGAUUUCCAAACAAGGCAGAGUUGUGUAUACAUGUAUCAUAAGUAAGAAAGGAGGAGGAAGUUCAUCUGCACAUAGGUGUUGUUUAUUAUCAAAAAUAGUUUGGAGAUAAUAAGUGGAUAUCAUCUGCAAACCAAGUGAAGUAUCAUUAUCAAAAAAAGUAUUUUAAUGGUUUGAUUGAUAUUGAUUUACAUAUCAGACUGCAUUUACAUGCAGAUGUCCAAAUGCUGAAUUGCAGAAACAUGUACUUCAGAAGCAGAUUCAAGAUUCAAGAUUUUUAUUCAUCAAAUACACGAUUAUAUAGAGAAUAUAUAACCAGCAGUGAAAUGUGAGUCAGGUCCGCUCCAUGGACAGUGCAAUUAUUAAAGAAUACAACACAGAUGAAAAUAUGCAUAAAUAUAGGUAUGAAAGAAUGAAAUAAAAGUAAACAAUAAAAAUAUAAGAAUAAAAUA